UUAAGCGACUAAGCGUACACGGUGGAUGCCCUGGCAGUCAGAGGCGAUGAAGGACGUGCUAAUCUGCGAUAAGCGUCGGUAAGGUGAUAUGAACCGUUAUAACCGGCGAUUUCCGAAUGGGGAAACCCAGUGUGUUUCGACACACUAUCAUUAACUGAAUCCAUAGGUUAAUGAGGCGAACCGGGGGAACUGAAACAUCUAAGUACCCCGAGGAAAAGAAAUCAACCGAGAUUCCCCCAGUAGCGGCGAGCGAACGGGGAGCAGCCCAGAGCCUGAAUCAGUGUGUGUGUUAGUGGAAGCGUCUGGAAAGGCGCGCGAUACAGGGUGACAGCCCCGUACACAAAAAUGCACAUGCUGUGAGCUCGAUGAGUAGGGCGGGACACGUGGUAUCCUGUCUGAAUAUGGGGGGACCAUCCUCCAAGGCUAAAUACUCCUGACUGACCGAUAGUGAACCAGUACCGUGAGGGAAAGGCGAAAAGAACCCCGGCGAGGGGAGUGAAAAAGAACCUGAAACCGUGUACGUACAAGCAGUGGGAGCACGCUUAGGCGUGUGACUGCGUACCUUUUGUAUAAUGGGUCAGCGACUUAUAUUCUGUAGCAAGGUUAACCGAAUAGGGGAGCCGAAGGGAAACCGAGUCUUAACUGGGCGUUAAGUUGCAGGGUAUAGACCCGAAACCCGGUGAUCUAGCCAUGGGCAGGUUGAAGGUUGGGUAACACUAACUGGAGGACCGAACCGACUAAUGUUGAAAAAUUAGCGGAUGACUUGUGGCUGGGGGUGAAAGGCCAAUCAAACCGGGAGAUAGCUGGUUCUCCCCGAAAGCUAUUUAGGUAGCGCCUCGUGAAUUCAUCUCCGGGGGUAGAGCACUGUUUCGGCAAGGGGGUCAUCCCGACUUACCAACCCGAUGCAAACUGCGAAUACCGGAGAAUGUUAUCACGGGAGACACACGGCGGGUGCUAACGUCCGUCGUGAAGAGGGAAACAACCCAGACCGCCAGCUAAGGUCCCAAAGUCAUGGUUAAGUGGGAAACGAUGUGGGAAGGCCCAGACAGCCAGGAUGUUGGCUUAGAAGCAGCCAUCAUUUAAAGAAAGCGUAAUAGCUCACUGGUCGAGUCGGCCUGCGCGGAAGAUGUAACGGGGCUAAACCAUGCACCGAAGCUGCGGCAGCGACGCUUAUGCGUUGUUGGGUAGGGGAGCGUUCUGUAAGCCUGCGAAGGUGUGCUGUGAGGCAUGCUGGAGGUAUCAGAAGUGCGAAUGCUGACAUAAGUAACGAUAAAGCGGGUGAAAAGCCCGCUCGCCGGAAGACCAAGGGUUCCUGUCCAACGUUAAUCGGGGCAGGGUGAGUCGACCCCUAAGGCGAGGCCGAAAGGCGUAGUCGAUGGGAAACAGGUUAAUAUUCCUGUACUUGGUGUUACUGCGAAGGGGGGACGGAGAAGGCUAUGUUGGCCGGGCGACGGUUGUCCCGGUUUAAGCGUGUAGGCUGGUUUUCCAGGCAAAUCCGGAAAAUCAAGGCUGAGGCGUGAUGACGAGGCACUACGGUGCUGAAGCAACAAAUGCCCUGCUUCCAGGAAAAGCCUCUAAGCAUCAGGUAACAUCAAAUCGUACCCCAAACCGACACAGGUGGUCAGGUAGAGAAUACCAAGGCGCUUGAGAGAACUCGGGUGAAGGAACUAGGCAAAAUGGUGCCGUAACUUCGGGAGAAGGCACGCUGAUAUGUAGGUGAAGUCCCUCGCGGAUGGAGCUGAAAUCAGUCGAAGAUACCAGCUGGCUGCAACUGUUUAUUAAAAACACAGCACUGUGCAAACACGAAAGUGGACGUAUACGGUGUGACGCCUGCCCGGUGCCGGAAGGUUAAUUGAUGGGGUUAGCGCAAGCGAAGCUCUUGAUCGAAGCCCCGGUAAACGGCGGCCGUAACUAUAACGGUCCUAAGGUAGCGAAAUUCCUUGUCGGGUAAGUUCCGACCUGCACGAAUGGCGUAAUGAUGGCCAGGCUGUCUCCACCCGAGACUCAGUGAAAUUGAACUCGCUGUGAAGAUGCAGUGUACCCGCGGCAAGACGGAAAGACCCCGUGAACCUUUACUAUAGCUUGACACUGAACAUUGAGCCUUGAUGUGUAGGAUAGGUGGGAGGCCUUGAAGUGUGGACGCCAGUCUGCAUGGAGCCGACCUUGAAAUACCACCCUUUAAUGUUUGAUGUUCUAACGUUGACCCGUAAUCCGGGUUGCGGACAGUGUCUGGUGGGUAGUUUGACUGGGGCGGUCUCCUCCUAAAGAGUAACGGAGGAGCACGAAGGUUGGCUAAUCCUGGUCGGACAUCAGGAGGUUAGUGCAAUGGCAUAAGCCAGCUUGACUGCGAGCGUGACGGCGCGAGCAGGUGCGAAAGCAGGUCAUAGUGAUCCGGUGGUUCUGAAUGGAAGGGCCAUCGCUCAACGGAUAAAAGGUACUCCGGGGAUAACAGGCUGAUACCGCCCAAGAGUUCAUAUCGACGGCGGUGUUUGGCACCUCGAUGUCGGCUCAUCACAUCCUGGGGCUGAAGUAGGUCCCAAGGGUAUGGCUGUUCGCCAUUUAAAGUGGUACGCGAGCUGGGUUUAGAACGUCGUGAGACAGUUCGGUCCCUAUCUGCCGUGGGCGCUGGAGAACUGAGGGGGGCUGCUCCUAGUACGAGAGGACCGGAGUGGACGCAUCACUGGUGUUCGGGUUGUCAUGCCAAUGGCACUGCCCGGUAGCUAAAUGCGGAAGAGAUAAGUGCUGAAAGCAUCUAAGCACGAAACUUGCCCCGAGAUGAGUUCUCCCUGACUCCUUGAGAGUCCUGAAGGAACGUUGAAGACGACGACGUUGAUAGGCCGGGUGUGUAAGCGCAGCGAUGCGUUGAGCUAACCGGUACUAAUGAACCGUGAGGCUUAACCUU
This 2902-nucleotide ribosomal RNA is filed under the name Escherichia coli. RNAcentral describes it as "bacterial LSU rRNA". It matches the Rfam family "Bacterial large subunit ribosomal RNA". The record is from RNAcentral. Lineage: Bacteria; Pseudomonadati; Pseudomonadota; Gammaproteobacteria; Enterobacterales; Enterobacteriaceae.